RNAcentral lists this ribosomal RNA (156 nucleotides) under uncultured bacterium. Its description in RNAcentral is "partial 16S ribosomal RNA". It matches the Rfam family "Bacterial small subunit ribosomal RNA", at positions 1337 to 1500 of the family's 1533-position model. The record is from RNAcentral.
AGUAAUCGCGCAUCAGCCAUGGCGCGGUGAAUACGUUCCCGGGCCUUGUACACACCGCCCGUCAAGCCAUGGGAGCCGGGGGUGCUUGAAGUGCGUCGCCGCAAGGCGCGCCCUAGAGCAAAACCGGUGACUGGGGCUAAGUCGUAACAAGGUAAC